GAUGAACGCUGGCGGCGUGCCUAAUACAUGCAAGUCGAGCGAACAGACGAGGAGCUUGCUCCUCUGACGUUAGCGGCGGACGGGUGAGUAACACGUGGAUAACCUACCUAUAAGACUGGGAUAACUUCGGGAAACCGGAGCUAAUACCGGAUAAUAUAUUGAACCGCAUGGUUCAAUAGUGAAAGACGGUUUUGCUGUCACUUAUAGAUGGAUCCGCGCCGCAUUAGCUAGUUGGUCAGGUAACGGCUUACCAAGGCGACGAUGCGUAGCCGACCUGAGAGGGUGAUCGGCCACACUGGAACUGAGACACGGUCCAGACUCCUACGGGAGGCAGCAGUAGGGAAUCUUCCGCAAUGGGCGAAAGCCUGACGGAGCAACGCCGCGUGAGUGAUGAAGGUCUUCGGAUCGUAAAACUCUGUUAUUAGGGAAGAACAAAUGUGUAAGUAACUAUGCACGUCUUGACGGUACCGAAUCAGAAAGCCACGGCUAACUACGUG
RNAcentral lists this ribosomal RNA (497 nucleotides) under uncultured bacterium. Its description in RNAcentral is "partial 16S ribosomal RNA". It matches the Rfam family "Bacterial small subunit ribosomal RNA", at positions 28 to 507 of the family's 1533-position model. The record is from RNAcentral.